RNAcentral lists this ribosomal RNA (484 nucleotides) under uncultured bacterium. Its description in RNAcentral is "partial 16S ribosomal RNA". It matches the Rfam family "Bacterial small subunit ribosomal RNA", at positions 30 to 507 of the family's 1533-position model. The record is from RNAcentral.
AUUGAACGCUGGCGGCAGGCCUAACACAUGCAAGUCGUGCGGAUGAAGGGAGCUUGCGCCUGGAUUCAGCGGCGGACGGGUGAGUAAUGCCUAUGAAUCUGCCUGGUAGUGGGGGAUAACGUCCGGAAACGGGCGCUAAUACCGCAUACGUCCUGAGGGAGAAAGUGGGGGAUCUUCGGACCUCACGCUAUCAGAUGAGCCUAGGUCGGAUUAGCUAGUUGGUGGGGUAAAGGCCUACCAAGGCGACGAUCCGUAACUGGUCUGAGAGGAUGAUCAGUCACACUGGAACUGAGAUACGGUCCAGACUCCUACAGGAGGCAGCAGUGGGGACUAUUGGACAAUGGGCGGAAGCCUGAUCAAGCCAUGCCGCGUGUGUGCAGAAGGUCUUCGGAUUGUAAAACACUUUAAGUUGGGAGGACGGGCAGUAAGUUAAUCCCUUGCUGUUUUGACGGUACCAACAGAAUAAGCACCGGCUAACUUCGUG